AGAGUUUGAUCCUGGCUCAGAACGAACGCUGGCGGCAUGCCUAACACAUGCAAGUCGAACGAGACCUUCGGGUCUAGUGGCGCACGGGUGCGUAACGCGUGGGAAUCUGCCCUUUGGUUCGGAAUAACUCAGGGAAACUUGAGCUAAUACCGGAUAAUGACUUCGGUCCAAAGAUUUAUCGCCAAAGGAUGAGCCCGCGUAAGAUUAGCUAGUUGGUGAGGUAAAGGCUCACCAAGGCGACGAUCUUUAGCUGGUCUGAGAGGAUGAUCAGCCACACUGGGACUGAGACACGGCCCAGACUCCUACGGGAGGCAGCAGUGGGGAAUAUUGGACAAUGGGCGAAAGCCUGAUCCAGCAAUGCCGCGUGAGUGAUGAAGGCCUUAGGGUUGUAAAGCUCUUUUACCCGGGAAGAUAAUGACUGUACCGGGAGAAUAAGCUCCGG
Molecule: ribosomal RNA, 442 nt
Filed under: uncultured bacterium
Lineage: Bacteria
Description: bacterial SSU rRNA
Rfam family: Bacterial small subunit ribosomal RNA
Source: RNAcentral